ACGAGCGCUGGCGGCAUGCCUAACACAUGCCAGUCGAGCGCCUGUAGCAAUACAGGAGCGGCGCACGGGUGAGUAACGCGUGGGAACCUGCUCUUAGGUUCGGAACAACCGCGGGAAACUGCGGCUGCUACCGGAUGAUGUCUUCGGACCAAAGAUUUAUCGCCUUUGGAGGGGCCCGCGUCGGAUUAGGUAGUUGGUGAGGUAACGGCUCACCAAGCCUGCGAUCCGUAGCUGGUCUGAGAGGAUGACCAGCCACACUGGGACUGAGACACGGCCCAGACUCCUACGGGAGGCAGCAGUGGGGAGUAUUGGACAAUGGGGGCAACCCUGAUCCAGCAAUGCCGCGUGGGUGAUGAAGGCCUUCGGGUUGUAAAGCCCUUUCGGCGGGGACGAUGAUGACGGUACUGGAAGAAGAAGCACCGGCUAACUACGU
This 433-nucleotide ribosomal RNA is filed under the name uncultured bacterium. RNAcentral's name for it is "bacterial SSU rRNA". It matches the Rfam family "Bacterial small subunit ribosomal RNA", at positions 29 to 506 of the family's 1533-position model. The record is from RNAcentral.